UAAGCGUGCCUUGUGUUUAGAAUGUUUACAGAUUUGGACAAAAAAUGUGAGGAAAAAAGGCGAAAAAGGGCUGUUUGGGGGUGAAAAUUGGAAACAGCUCCCAAACAGCCCAAGAUCAUCACGGUUACCUUGGCCUCUCUUCCCCUAAUAUCUAGUUCUCUCACUCCAUGACUCUCUCUAUCUUUGUUUUCUCUUUGACUUAAGUAAUUUUGUUCUACAAUGUCUCACCCACCAGGGCCUUCACCAUCCGUAUUUUCUGGAGGAUCUUCAACUUUCCCCAAAAACAAUUUGAGGAAUAAAUCCCUCUCUUUCUCUCUUUCUCACUCACCCAUUCUUUCUCUCCCUCUCCCUCUGAAUGUUUCUGUUCAUCUAUGUUUAUUUUUCCUUCUCUCAAAUUUUGCACCUACCAACACUGCCAUCAUCAUUUUCCAAGUACCAGCAGUUCGCCUAUCUCCAAAAACCCAAUUUUAGUUAUGGGCCUUCGGUCCUCCCUCUCUCUCCCUCAAUUUCUAUUUUUUUCUCUGUUUUUCCUAAUUUUCAAAACCAAUUUAUUUGUUAUCCCUAAUUUUCAAAGCCCUAAUGAGUGGAUGCUUGAAGGGAUGGCCUCAAAUCUUACUCUCCAGAUUUUGUUAGUUGCUUAAAAUUAACUAGUCAUGGUAUUGGUGCAUAUAAAUUUCUGCUGCAAAUUGAACUUUGUCUCAUCUUUCUUAUUAGGACCACUAACAUAGUGCCCACUAGGUAGUGCAAUUUUAACUGAUAUACCAAAAUAUAUCGAUAUUAGAAAAACUAAACCUGAUAAUAAUACACCAGCAAUCAGUUUCUCCCUAGCAAGACUUUAUGGAAGACUGUAGCCCAGAGAAGACAACACCUUGGUCAAAUUCAGAAGCUUUAGUGCAAUGACAUCAAAACUUUUUACGACUACAGGAUUUGCAAAAGCAACCUGUAAUUUUACCACAUUGAUUGGUCAAGGGGCAUUUGGUCCAGUUUAUAAAGCUCAGAUGUUAACUAGGGAGACAGUUGCUGUUAAAGUGCUUGCAACUGAUUCUAGCAAGGAGCAAAAGAAUUCUAAAUAGAGCUAGCAGAAGCAUCAAAAGCACAAUUUACACGUGAUUAUAGUGAUCACUUUGCUCUUGUCCGGGCUUAUAAGGGCUGGAAAGAAGCUGAAAGAGACAUAAUUGGAUAUGAAUACUACUGGAAGAAUUUUCUUUCUACAAAUCAAUGAAAGCUAUUGAUCCUCUGCGAAGGGAGUUCUACUCUUCACUUAAGAAAUAUAUUUUAAAUUUUAAUGCUAGAUGGAUGUGAAUUGGAUGAUUAUAUAGAUUACAAGCGGAUUUUUAAUUGAAGGAAUAUGUAGUUUGGAAUUACUUGUGGAUGAAAACUUAUAAUAGUUGCUGACUUUAAUUAAACAGUUUCAAAAUUUGAUGAUUUA
Non-coding RNA from Camellia sinensis, 1429 nucleotides. NCBI's taxonomy places the organism in Eukaryota, Viridiplantae, Streptophyta, Magnoliopsida, Ericales, Theaceae. The record is from RefSeq and is a predicted model, not a curated record.